AUGACAGGAUCCAACUCGAGUGUACAUGGACAUCAACAUGUGGAAGAUGAUCUCCCAAAAACUCGCGCAGCACUUGGUGAUAUGAUUGAGGAGAGUAUAGUUGCAGCUAUGCAAAGGAUGUUCGGUGGUCGUCUUCCUAUCGCGGGUAAUGGGGAUCAAAAUCAACACAGCCCCGCUGUCUCGCUAGCCGCCGACAACCGGCAACGUCAAGAACACAACGAUCGCCAUGUUGGUCGUGGAAGAGCGGCAGGAGCUGCUGCCCACGGCGCCCCUGCUGUUGGUGUUGAACGGAGGCGUGGCGAGUUUGCUGCCCUCCGUGAGGGUGGGCUACAUGGAGGAGAAGCUCGCGGGCGAGGCCACGACCCCCGCGGGUUUGCUGCUGAUCACCGGUGA
Molecule: ribosomal RNA, 393 nt
Filed under: Triticum aestivum (bread wheat)
Lineage: Eukaryota; Viridiplantae; Streptophyta; Magnoliopsida; Poales; Poaceae
Description: partial small subunit ribosomal RNA
Source: RNAcentral